RNAcentral lists this long non-coding RNA (1034 nucleotides) under Varroa destructor (honeybee mite). RNAcentral describes it as "uncharacterized LOC111247144, transcript variant X1". Lineage: Eukaryota; Metazoa; Arthropoda; Arachnida; Mesostigmata; Varroidae. The record is from RNAcentral.
ACCGCUUAGUGUUUGUCCUUUCUUAUUUUAUUUCACGUUUCCGAUUUGUUGCUGUUCUUAUUAUUUUUCUAUACGUCAUGUACGUCCCGUGGGGGCAAAGAGGUGCAGGGGUGAGAUAUCAGUUGUCAGUAGUGAAAUUGAAUGGUCAACGCAUACAUCGACUGACUGAUAACAGUAAUAAUAAUUAUUCUUAGUAUGAAUAUUCGUUUAUCAUUGUCAAGGAAGCUAGAAAGUUAUGUGAUUCAUAAAUUGAGUUGGAUCAUUGGAAUGAUCAGUCGAGCCUGCGAUUUGAACUUUGACAACAAGAAUUAUUAUAAUAGCAUUAUUAAUAAUUUGUGUUGCUAAUUAUCGUCGUGAUAAUUUCCUUUGCUGAAUAUUUAAAGAAUUACUGAAUUUCUUUUUUUCGACUAAACAGCGCCCUCAUUAUAUAAUCAGAUAGCAUUUAGUUGUUUUUCGUUUAUCAAGUCAUGGUUUAUAUUUUUAGUGAAAAUAAUACUAUUUGGCUAGUUGACAUAAUAAUAGCAGUUCAGUAAUUGAUAUAUGGAUGUGUAUGAAUACAUGUAUGCAUGUAAUUUUUCUUUUUGUUCAUUGAUUUUGCGUUACUUAUUGUUGCUAGAACCUAUGGUACCAUUCUCUUGUUGGCAUUUAUUGUCUGAUUGUGAUUAUUGUUUUCGUUUUUUUUUUUACUAGCCCGCCGCCUGAGCACAGAAUAACGACAGUGAAAACACCACCACCACCGUCACUGCAAGGCUGCCGUUGGGGUGUUCCGGAUUUGCUGUGUUUCGAUCCUGUAAUCGUCGAGCUAUGGUAACCUGUGUAUGUCGCGUCGCCUUUACUUGCCCACCCAAAGUCUUGGUGCAACAGGACUUCUUCGUUUCGCUAAAGUAGAAUACUUGAUUCUGGUGGCAACUCUCAUCACAUACUCGCCGUAAUUAAAGAAGAGCAGUGUUACGUGUACUUAGACACGGCGUCCGAUCUCGCCUCUCCCGGCAGCACGUGGAACAGCACUGAGAUGAGCAGGCGGCGAAUUGCUG